AGGGAAUCUUCCACAAUGGGCGCAAGCCUGAUGGAGCAACACCGCGUGAGUGAAGAAGGGUUUCGGCUCGUAAAGCUCUGUUGUUGGAGAAGAACGUGCGUGAGAGUAACUGUUCACGCAGUGACGGUAUCCAACCAGAAAGUCACGGCUAACUACGUGCCAGCAGCCGCGGUAAUACGUAGGUGGCAAGCGUUAUCCGGAUUUAUUGGGCGUAAAGCGAGCGCAGGCGGUUGCUUAGGUCUGAUGUGAAAGCCUUCGGCUUAACCGAAGAAGUGCAUCGGAAACCGGGCGACUUGAGUGCAGAAGAGGACAGUGGAACUCCAUGUGUAGCGGUGGAAUGCGUAGAUAUAUGGAAGAACACCAGUGGCGAAGGCGGCUGUCUGGUCUGCAACUGACGCUGAGGCGCGAAAGCAUGGGUAGCGAAC
This 425-nucleotide ribosomal RNA is filed under the name uncultured bacterium. RNAcentral describes it as "bacterial SSU rRNA". It matches the Rfam family "Bacterial small subunit ribosomal RNA", at positions 356 to 773 of the family's 1533-position model. The record is from RNAcentral.